UGCUCCCCACUCCUCCUAGACAGCGCAUUUACUUCAUUGUCAGCUUGUUUGCAAUUUAUGCCUUCACUUGGGUUCAUGCUUGAUGCUUGUCUGUACGUUUGACUGAUUGCUUGUCUGCUGGACAUGCUUGAAUUGUGUUUUAGCGCUUAAGAUGGUUGAGGCUUGAGCUCUUUUUACUCUAUAUCUUUUUAAGUUCGUUUGAUUGUGAUGACAUAAUUGUGUGAUGAGAUUGGAUGUGUUGUUAUGCUCUUAGUUCUCUGAUGGGUGGUAUAAUUUAAUUGGUUGGUAUGGUGUGGAGUGGCAUACAACAAGAUGAUAUUCUGUUUUAUUUGGGGGUCGUAGACGAGCUCAAUGAUGUGUUGUUUUGGAAUGCUUUCAUUGCUGUACAAGGGCUGCUUGUGCUCGCACAAUACAAAUCUGUUUUCCUCCAUAUACUUUUAGAUGCAUAGAAUAUAAUUAUUGUGAUGUGGUUGUGGGGUGUUAUAGUUGGUAUUUGUAUGUAUCGUCCCCAGGUCAUGGAUCAUCCCCCUUAUCCCCUUCGAGGAGGCCAGAAAUAUGGUGCUACCUCCUGUCUAUAAAAGGAUGUUGCAAGUUUUCCUAAAUUUUAAAGUAUCUAGAUGCUCUUUAGUGUAUAGGUACAUCCAAAUUUAGACAAAUCUCCGACAUCCUUUCGUAGGCGAAGGGUCUGUUGCAAGCUAGAUUUUCUUCUAAUAUUAUGCUUGUUGAAAUUAUGAAAUAAUUUUUAUUUUUGGUGCAGCUCUAUGUGAUUGAAAAGUAUACCGGCUUAGGAUCAAUUUAGAUGGUUAAUCUUUUGGCAGUGGAGAAACUAAGAUGCAUAUAUUCUUGGACAGACUUUUCGUGGAUUUUGUGGUGUUGUUUACCACCGUCGGAGCUGCGACUGUGCAUGAAGCAAUUGAAAUUAUGCGUAUGAUCGACGGCCUUUUAUAAGGUUUGUUCUUAAGAGUUUUUCGUGCGGUCCUUUUUUUGUUUGAGAGUAUGCAAUACUUCUGCAUAGUUUGAAUAAGGAAUUUGAUAUAUGACCCUCCUUGCUCCCACGAGGAAUGAGUAAUUUUGAUAUACUUAUUCAUUUUAGUGUCUUCCAAUAUAAACUAAGGCUUUCUGUUUUUCUAUUUGAGUUAUAGGCUUGCCUGAUGUAAGAAAACAACAAUGUGUCAGGAGAGAGCAUUUCUUGAUCGAACCAAGCGAUGAUUUUUCCUAUUUUUCUACUUGGAAUAUUCACUUGAGUAAUUACUGAGGAGCACAACUCGGAUCAUGUGUGAGAAUGAGGAGGAUAUCGGUCAUGUGCAACUUUGGAUGGUUCCCAAGGUGGUAAAGAUUACUCCUUUUGCAAAGUUAAUUUGUUAAUAUGCAUGUUUAUUUAACUUUUCAUC
Lolium rigidum is the source of this 1391-nucleotide long non-coding RNA. RefSeq lists it as uncharacterized. The transcript is spliced from 3 exons. NCBI's taxonomy places the organism in Eukaryota, Viridiplantae, Streptophyta, Magnoliopsida, Poales, Poaceae. The record is from RefSeq and is a predicted model, not a curated record.